AUGCAUAUUUAAAUUUAUAGAUGAGAACAUUCUCGUGGGUAAUACCAGUCGAAAAUUUCUUACGCAAGGUUCCUAAGAUUCCACCGAAAUAUUAUCCCAAAGUCACGGGGCGUGUAAAAUCAAUGGAUGGGCCGCGGUUAAUUUUCGGCUCAGAAUUAGAGCUUGGGAAAAAAAUGAAUAAAAAAUUACCGACCGCCACGUGUGUAGCCUUUCAUAUAUAUGUAUAUAGGAUAUUACGAAUAGAGCAUAGGAGCGAGUAUAUAAUAACGUCAUCCACCAAACGCCGCGGUUAUAUACAUGGCGCAGCAUUGCGUUGAAGGGGAAAAUAGAGAAAUAGAAAUUUACCGGACAAACAACUCUCGUCCGUUUCAUCGAAGAAUGCAGGUUAACAUGAUCGCAUACGUUUGGAGUAACGUGUAUUACGAAUAGAAUAUGUACGUAGGUACGCGUAACUCUUCCCUUCAUGUUACAUUUGUCGUCCGCGCGGUUACACCCCGUUUGAAAAGAGAGGCAUGUGCAGGUUCCGAGAGAGAGAGAGAGAGAGACAACGGAACGGUUAAUCGCGCUUUGUAUGUAAACACAGCUAGCGUAAACGCCGAUCGGAAUUCGUAGUAGUAGAGACGCACUACUGCGGUUGAGCGAAACCUACAAUUCUGUUUAUUUCCAUGACCCGUCGUUCCCCUUGGAUUCACACGUAAAUGCGAACAGUACCUACUCCGUAUCUAUUCUUCAGUUGUCUGAGGGAAUUAGGCUGGAGUGGUCGCGUCGUACAGGAUUAUACGUCUAAAGUAAGUACGAGUAAAAUUGUGGAAAUUUUUCCUUCGUACUUCGAGAGAGGGUGGACGCAUCCGGCGAACAAGAGGCGAUGCGCUUGGACCAUUAUUGGACUCCGAGGACGAGGUAUUAUGGAGAUGUUCGAGCAGACGAUGGACUAGCGUCUGAACGUGAUGUAUUUUACAGCCGAUAGAAGUCGAUGUCUGUUUGAAAACGCACGUUAGGUAUGCACUUGCGGCAAUGAAAUCAAGAGAUUUUAACGUUGUGGAUAAUUCAUGUGUACAAAUUUCCGCAUUUUGUUUUUAUCAUUUCCGUCGUGCAAACUGUAAGAAAAAAAAUUAUACAGGUGGACAAUGAGCGAACAGAAGAUCGAACUAUCCGUAGCAUAGGAAAUAAGAUACACUUUCUCCUUGUGCUAAACUUCACUCCUUCGACUGUGAAAAUAUGGAAUUUCAUAUAGAUUACCGGUCUAUCUCCGCAAGAUGCAUAUCGAUCCUGAAAAUAAUACACCUUGACAUUUGAGUGGAAUAUUUAAAACUAUUAUCGAUAUUAAUGAAUACGCUAUGAAACGAAAAAAAAAAAGUGUCAAAAGCGCAAUAAGGAUCAUUUGUAUUGCACAAAGUUCAUCUGACCUUAACCGAUUGUUCGAGUAUAUAAUGGAAUAAAAUCUGGAUUGUCUUAAUGUA
Long non-coding RNA from Athalia rosae (coleseed sawfly), 1460 nucleotides. RefSeq lists it as uncharacterized. Lineage: Eukaryota; Metazoa; Arthropoda; Insecta; Hymenoptera; Athaliidae. The record is from RefSeq and is a predicted model, not a curated record. The transcript is spliced from 3 exons.